AGGGGCUUUCUGGGGUGAUUAUGCGCUUUGGCCCGAUCAUAAUGCCCCUCAAAGACCUUAA
This 61-nucleotide microRNA precursor is filed under the name Eptatretus burgeri (inshore hagfish). RNAcentral's name for it is "Ebu-Mir-193-P2_pre stem-loop". The record is from RNAcentral. Lineage: Eukaryota; Metazoa; Chordata; Myxini; Myxiniformes; Myxinidae.